UCCAGACUCCUACGGGAGGCAGCAGUGGGGAAUAUUGGACAAUGGGGGGAACCCUGAUCCAGCGACGCCGCGUGAGUGAAGAAGUCUUUCGGUAUGUAAAGCUCUAUCAGCAGGGAAGAAAGAAAUGACGGUACCUGACUAAGAAGCCCUGGCUAACUACGUGCCAGCAGCCGCGGUAAUACGUAGGGGGCAAGCGUUAUCCGGAUUUACUGGGUGUAAAGGGAGCGUAGACGGUUACGCAAGUCUGGAGUGAAAGGCGGGGGCCCAACCCCCGGACUGCUUUGGAAACUGUAUAACUGGAGUGCAGGAGAGGUAAGUGGAAUUCCUAGCGUAGCGGUGAAAUGCGUAGAUAUUAGGAGGAACACCAGUGGCGAAGGCGGCUUACUGGACUGUAACUGACGUUGAGGCUCGAAAGCGUGGGGAGCAAACAGGAUUAGAUACCCUCGUAUAA
Molecule: ribosomal RNA, 451 nt
Filed under: uncultured bacterium
Lineage: Bacteria
Description: bacterial SSU rRNA
Rfam family: Bacterial small subunit ribosomal RNA
Source: RNAcentral